AAGGGCUUAGCUUAAUUAAAGUGUCUGUUUUGCAUUCAGAAGAUGUGAGUUUAUAGUCUUGCAGUCCUUA
Molecule: transfer RNA, 70 nt
Filed under: Mesomys stimulax (Surinam spiny tree rat)
Lineage: Eukaryota; Metazoa; Chordata; Mammalia; Rodentia; Echimyidae
Description: tRNA-Ala
Rfam family: tRNA
About the family: Transfer RNA (tRNA) molecules are approximately 80 nucleotides in length.
Source: RNAcentral